RNAcentral lists this long non-coding RNA (1524 nucleotides) under Hordeum vulgare. RNAcentral describes it as "long non-coding RNA (HVUL_LNC014939)". The record is from RNAcentral. Lineage: Eukaryota; Viridiplantae; Streptophyta; Magnoliopsida; Poales; Poaceae.
AAUCAAACGUCACAAUGAAAACAAACUUGACAACUAGGGAUAAAUAGAAGCAUCCAUGAACAUAAUAUUGCACACUGUCUCAAACGUUGUGAUCUUAGUUUACAUAGUGUUCCCUCACCUCUGUCGGGCAUGCACUGUCCUUGGUAUGGCUCCACAGCUUGGCGUUUUCCUUGUGCUCCUAAUACCCAAUUCCCUUUUUUUGCUUCAGUGGGCCACCUUCUCAGCAUCACUUGCACUACUUCGCAUCCGAUUCUUUUUAGUAUUUACCAAAAAAAAACAGAAUUUAUGUAACGUUGUCAAUGUCAAUGGCACACAACCACAUCAAUCAUCAUAAUUAGCAACAAAGUAGAGCCUCAGGUGCUCGUCGACGGCUUCUUGUCCUAGCUUUCACAUGUGGAAAAUGCAAACGAGUAAUGUGUGAUCAUUACAAGUGUGAAUUUUGCCAUAUCAAAUGUAUGAACUGAAUAAUGUAAAUAAGAAAUAUGAUGAUGCAAGUUGUCGCUCAUUCUAGUUCUGCAAUAGAACAAUAGGUACAUCCAUAAUAAAUAUUAAACGAAGUUAAUUUUUCAUAUUUUAAGUUUGAAGAGAUGAUUUCAACCUGUUUACUGUGAAUUAAUGUGGUACUGUCAAGUACAAAACACAAGCACUGAUGCAAAUUUAUUGAUAACUAAAGCUGAACAUCAAUAUGAACUACACCGAGACUACGUGAGUCAAGAGCUGUAAACACAUACCAUUAUCUGUGAAGUAUGUAGCUAGAAGGAGUAGACAUCGAAACACUUCCUCUAAAGCAAAGUAGUGUGAUAGUAUGGUCUCGUCAUCCGGAUCGACAUGAUGCAAAGUAUGUUGAGGCAGAAUGAAUAGCUUUUUUGUCUGUUCUACAAUAGAUGAAGCGAAACACUCGGUAUGCAAUAUGUCAAAAAAGGAAGCACUAAAUUAAUUUCAUGUACUUGUAGCAUGUUCGCAAUCAGCUCUUACAUAAGAGAAAUUCAACCUAAACAUCAAGGCAUAAAUACAUGGUUUGCGCCCAAAUAACGUAAAGAGUAUGGCAUCUAAAAGGAAAGUUAGUCACCUCACAUUCCGAACUAUCCAUAUCAAUUACUAUCAUCAUCUCAAGGUUAACCUUGUUGCCGAUUCCAGAAGCACUUUCAUUUUGGAAGAAGAACGUUCCCGGUCAAAGGACCAAAUAUUGCAACGGGAAGACAUGAAGCGGAAUCAAACUUUCAGUUGCUUGUCUAAGAAAGUAAAGUGAAAAAAAUUAAGCUAAUCCUUCUACAAUAGACCCAAGAGGAAAGCACUUUGGAUGACAUUCAUUAGUAUCUGUAAUAUAUUCAUUAAAACGAGGUGCAGUUAUAUGAAAAGGAGAAUUGAACAAGUGCAAUUACACGAAUAGUGGAAUCGGGCAAGUUGCAUACAUAAACAUUGGAGAUAAAAUCCCAAAAUAGUAACCAAAGCAGAUAAGCACCAAAGAGUUAAAUUUAGAAAUUAUAUUUACAAAGCCGAACUUGUAGUGGCUUUUUAUUGGCA